UACAGAGGUCCCAAGCGUUGUUCGGAUUCAUUGGGCGUAAAGGGUGCGUAGGCGGCGCGGUAAGUCGGGUGUGAAAUCUCGGGGCUUAACUCCGAAACUGCAUUCGAUGCUGCCGUGCUUGAGGACUGGAGAGGAGACUGGAAUUUACGGUGUAGCGGUGAAAUGCGUAGAUAUCGGGAGGAACACCAGUGGCGAAGGCGACUUCCUGGCCUGUUCUUGACGCUGAGGCGCGAAAGCUAGGGGAGCAAACGGG
This 253-nucleotide ribosomal RNA is filed under the name uncultured bacterium. Its description in RNAcentral is "partial 16S ribosomal RNA". It matches the Rfam family "Bacterial small subunit ribosomal RNA", at positions 524 to 776 of the family's 1533-position model. The record is from RNAcentral.